GUUGAAGAGGAGUGGUGAGAGUAGUCUCCUCGUCUUGUUCCAAUUCUCAAAGGGAAUGCUUUCACCUUUUCCCCAUUCAGUAUUAUGUUGGCUGUGGGUUUGUCAUAGAUGGCUUUUAUUACAUUAAGGUAUGUCCCUUGUAUGCCUAUUUUGCUGAGAGCUUUAAUCAUAAAGCAAUGCUAGAUUUUGUUGAAUGCUUUUUCUGCAUCUGUUGAUAUAAUCAUAGAGCCUAGAAAAUAUCACCUAGUGAAUAUCUACUUCCAUGAGUAACACACAAUACAGACUUCAAAAAACCAGAGCUUUUGCUGGGGAUAUAUGCUCCUUCCAAAGGCGAUUGAUUGUGUGCAAUAUUCUGAGAAGUAAUUCCUCCAAAGGUAAAGUGUCGCUAUCUGGGCUUCUGGGAAUAUCCCGAAAAUCCACAUAUUCUAAAAAUCUUUUCCACUACCAACCACCAUAAAUGCUGAACAACAGAACAUGCGCUCAACUGCACAAAUUAUGCUUUGGGGCUUUUGUACACAGUUUUUGCACAGAAAUAUUUAAGUAAAUAUAAAUUAAUUGAAAUGUUUUCCAGGUGGAUAUUGAGGGAGAAACAGAAAAAUCCAAGACAAUCCCUUGUGGAAGAAAAUUCUCCAACCCAAAACUCAACCGAACUCAAAGGGCUGAACAGCGCGUCAAUUAAGACCUGUCAAAUAUAAUCACACGAUCUAAUAGUUUUAAAUACGCAAAAUAAAGAGCACCAAAGUAAAUGUCAUUCAGAAAUAACAACAACAAAACCAGAGCACCCCGAUGCAUUUAGGCCUCAAGGAAUUCCAAAGUAGUGUAUUAGGUAUAGUAAAUAUAUAUGUAAUUAGAAAUGUUUAGAGAAAUUAGAGAGAUGUGUUUUUUUUAAAAGAUUUGGCCUAUAAAACAGUUAACAAUUCCAGUAAAGAAGAAAACAGAAAUUCAAUGUUUGAUAUACAUACAUAAAAAUAAAUUUCAGGAAAAGUCCGUGUGAUAACAGAAUCCAAAUUAUAUAAAAGAUAGAAAUCUCAAUGUUUGUUUUUACACAUUUUAAGGAAAAAACAACCCUGAAAGCACAAAA
This 1081-nucleotide long non-coding RNA is filed under the name Homo sapiens (human). RNAcentral's name for it is "HSALNT0355547". Lineage: Eukaryota; Metazoa; Chordata; Mammalia; Primates; Hominidae. The record is from RNAcentral.